RNAcentral lists this ribosomal RNA (373 nucleotides) under uncultured organism. Its description in RNAcentral is "bacterial SSU rRNA". It matches the Rfam family "Bacterial small subunit ribosomal RNA", at positions 526 to 896 of the family's 1533-position model. The record is from RNAcentral.
CGUAGGGCCCGAGCGUUAUCCGGAAUUAUUGGGCGUAAAGUGCGCGUAGGCGUUCCUACAAGUCGGUCGUUAAAUCUCACGGCCCAACCGUGAGGCUGCGAGCGAUACUGUAGGAAUUGAGUUACACAGGGGCAAGCAGAAUUUCCAGAGUAGGGUGAAAUCCGUUGAUACUGGAAGGAAUACCAAUGGCGAAGGCAGCUUGCUGGGUGCUAACUGACGCUGAGAGCGCGAAAGCGGUGGGAGCAAACGGGAUUAGACUACCCCGGUAGUCCACGCUGUAAACGAUGUCAACUAGCAAUAGGAAGAGUCGACCCUUUCUGUUGCGAAGCUAACGCGUUAAGUUGACCGCCUGGGGAGUACGGCCGCAAGGCUA